CCUACGGGGCGCAGCAGUGGGGGAUAUUGCACAAUGGGGGGAACCCUGAUGCAGCGACGCCGCGUGGGUGAAGGAGCGUUUCGGCGCGUAAAGCCCUAUCGGCAGGGAAGAAGAUGACGGUACCUGACCAAGAAGCCCCGGCUAACUACGUGCCAGCAGCCGCGGGAAUACGUAGGGGGCAAGCGUUAUCCGGAUUUACCGGGUGUAAAGGGGGCGCAGACGGCAAUGCACACCAGGAGUGAAUUCCC
This 248-nucleotide ribosomal RNA is filed under the name uncultured bacterium. Its description in RNAcentral is "partial 16S ribosomal RNA". It matches the Rfam family "Bacterial small subunit ribosomal RNA", at positions 338 to 603 of the family's 1533-position model. The record is from RNAcentral.